Long non-coding RNA from Podarcis muralis (Common wall lizard), 1789 nucleotides. RefSeq lists it as uncharacterized. The record is from RefSeq and is a predicted model, not a curated record. Lineage: Eukaryota; Metazoa; Chordata; Lepidosauria; Squamata; Lacertidae.
UGGGACUCAAAACAAGCUCCCUGACAAAUCCCCCAAAUGUUCCUUGGCCACAAGCUGUUCCUAUGUGCAUGGGUUAGCUGCGAGGGAAUAUCCCCAGUAGCUGAAGGCAGCAUACAUAUGCUAGCCCUUGGCCUGAGAGGGUCGGGGAGACUGUCCAUAUGGCAGAAAUGCCUUAGCUGAGUGGAAAGCUUGCUUUACUUCUUCGUCAACACAAAGAGCUGCCAGCUGACAGGACUCUGGGUCCUCCUGUCUGCCACUGUAAAAUUAUAUGCUUCAUGCUUGCCCCCCUUUGCUGCCAAAAGGAUUGCAAGGAGAGCAGAAACAGGCAGGGCAUUUUUUUUAAAAUAAGCAUAUAACAUGUGAGGGAAAUCCCAUGCAGACCACAUGAAUGGUGCCCUUUUCAUUCUUCCUGGCCCGGGUUUGCAUUUGGGGAAAACACUGAACAUGCUAGAUGCUGUUUUGUGUUUUCCUCCAGACAAUGUGAUCUAGCACUGGACAUCCUUCUUUUAAGCCUAUGUAACCAACAUGAGUUGUUUAGCUUAUUUUGUAGUUGUUGAUAUGUUAACAGUGCUUUAUAGAUUGCAAUUGUUUUGCUGACGAUUUGUUAAUUAUUCUGUAUGAUUUAUGCAGGGUUUGUGAUGUCCUAUCAUGUUAUUGUUAUUUAUUGUUUGUAAGUCACUUUGGGGUUCAUUUGAAAGAAAUGUGGCACUGAAACAGAAGAAAUCAAUCAAAUAGUAAAGAAGUGGCUUAAUUAGGCCUGUUACUUUAAGGAGCUCCAAGGCUUUUAAGAGCAGGUGUGUAAAUUGGGGUGGGGAGAGAGAGAAAGCAACCCAAGGCUUUGGAAGCCAUUUUGAUUAAGAGCUGCUGAAGAGCUGAAGAAGGAUUUCAGGGCAGGCCUGGCCUACCUUGUUUUAAAGGGUCCCAGGGGUGGAGUACUGUGCUUACUCAGGCUUUUGUGCCCAGAUAGAUUCUGCUAAUAGGCCAGCACUCGGCGGAAACAGGGAGAAGAAUUUUCAUGUCGUGAUAAAAAGACACCCUUGAAGAAAGAAUAGAGGACCAAGGUUUGUUGAAAGAAUAUACUUAUGUGAAACUGUAAUGCUGCAAUCCUACACGAAUUUCAAAGAGUUUAUCAGGCCAGCUGUGUUUGCUGGAGUUACUGGACACUCCAGAGAAGGCCGACAAACUUCAAAAAGCAAUUUAAAGCAUUGUUCAGAUGGGAGACAUGUGACCAUGGUGGCCAACUUCAAGACUCAGACAAAAAUGGAACCAGGAGGAGUUGGGGAGAGGCAAAAAAACCCCCACAGUUAGCCAUGUGCCCAAAACUAGAGUAGCUGGUGUAGGAGUGCAGUGGCCGUUGCUAGCUGGGCCUAAGGGAGAAACAAGAGGGCAUAGAAACAGAAGUAGUUGCAAAAAUAUCCAUUCUAGAAAAACCAUAGAAAGAAAUGGAUAUUGAGUAGUGUGGAAUAAUCAGUCAUAUAUAACCAACAUGUUCUAAUUAAUGCAUGAAGGGGUUAAGACCAUAGAGUAAGCUGUCCUGCCAGGCUUAGUUAGGUCACUCUUCUCAAUUUGGGAAUAAGGAUUAUCUAGCCUUUGCCCUUCCCAUUCCACCAUGUGACCCUUACCAGUAAGGAGUUCUAAGAUGGUUGCUCCAGCUUAGCUGUGCGGCUUAAGCAAGUCUCCUUUAUGUUUCUAUACAAAUAAUUUAGAAACAGCCACCUUUUAUAACCUACUUUUUAUUGCUUGUGUUUUCUAACUGCUUUAUGGGAAAGCACAUGAAUCUAACCUUUGA